GACGAACGCUGGCGGCGUGCUUAACACAUGCAAGUCGUACGGUAAGGCCCUUUCGGGGGUACACGAGUGGCGAACGGGUGAGUAACACGUGAGUAACCUGCCCACAACUUUGGGAUAACGCUAGGAAACUGGUGCUAAUACUGGAUAUGUGCUCCUGCUGCAUGGUGGGGGUUGGAAAGCUCCGGCGGUUGUGGAUGGACUCGCGGCCUAUCAGCUUGUUGGUGGGGUAGUGGCCUACCAAGGCGGCGACGGGUAGCUGGCCUGAGAGGGUGACCGGCCACAUUGGGACUGAGAUACGGCCCAGACUCCUACGGGAGGCAGCAGUGGGGAAUAUUGCACAAUGGGCGCAAGCCUGAUGCAGCAACGCCGCGUGCGGGAUGACGGCCUUCGGGUUGUAAACCGCUUUCAGCAGGGACGAAGCUUUUUGUGACGGUACCUGCAGAAGAAGCACCGGCUAACUACGUG
RNAcentral lists this ribosomal RNA (465 nucleotides) under uncultured bacterium. Its description in RNAcentral is "partial 16S ribosomal RNA". It matches the Rfam family "Bacterial small subunit ribosomal RNA", at positions 28 to 507 of the family's 1533-position model. The record is from RNAcentral.